Molecule: ribosomal RNA, 396 nt
Filed under: uncultured bacterium
Lineage: Bacteria
Description: bacterial SSU rRNA
Rfam family: Bacterial small subunit ribosomal RNA
Source: RNAcentral
AUUGAACGCUGGCGGCGUGCUUAACACAUGCAAGUCGAGCGGUAAGGCCCUUUCGGGGGUACACGAGCGGCGAACGGGUGAGUAACACGUGGGUGACCUGCCCUCAGCUCUGGGAUAAGCCUGGGAAACCGGGUCUAAUACUGGAUAUGACUCCAUGACGCAUGUUGUGGGGUGGAAAGCCUUGUGCGGCUGAGGAUGGGCCCGCGGCCUAUCAGCUUGUUGGUGGGGNGAUGGCCUACCAAGGCGACGACGGGUAGCCGGCCUGAGAGGGCGACGGCCACACUGGGACUGAGACACGGCCCAGACUCCUACGGGAGGCAGCAGUGGGGAAUCUUGCGCAAUGGGCGAAAGCCUGACGCAGCGACGCCGCGUGAGGGAUGACGGCCUGGUGUAACU